Molecule: transfer RNA, 49 nt
Filed under: Achalinus meiguensis (Sichuan odd-scaled snake)
Lineage: Eukaryota; Metazoa; Chordata; Lepidosauria; Squamata; Xenodermidae
Description: tRNA-Cys
Source: RNAcentral
ACCCCGACAGUCAGACUGCAAAUCUGCGCCAGGCCCUUUGCCCGGGGUU